RNAcentral lists this ribosomal RNA (247 nucleotides) under uncultured crenarchaeote. Its description in RNAcentral is "partial 16S ribosomal RNA". It matches the Rfam family "Archaeal small subunit ribosomal RNA", at positions 478 to 725 of the family's 1478-position model. Lineage: Archaea; Thermoproteati; Thermoproteota. The record is from RNAcentral.
AGCUCUCCGAGUGGUGUGGAUGUUUAUUGGGCCUAAAGCAUCCGUAGCUGGCUAGGUCAGUCCCUUGUUAAAUCCACCGAAUUAAUCGUUGGAUUGCGGGGGAUACUGCUUGGCUAGGGGACGAGAGAGGCAGACGGUAUUUUCGGGGUAGGGGUGAAAUCCUAUAAUCCCGGGAAGACCACCAGUGGCGAAGGCUGUCUGCUAGAACGCGCCCGACGGUGAGGGAUGAAAGCUGGGGGAGCGAACC